GACCCAGAACCGUGAGGAAAACGGCCCCUUGCGGAUCGGGCAAUACACCUAAAGGAG
This 57-nucleotide non-coding RNA is filed under the name unclassified sequences. RNAcentral describes it as "L20-Deltaproteobacteria ribosomal protein leader". It matches the Rfam family "L20-Deltaproteobacteria ribosomal protein leader". The record is from RNAcentral.